CCUGUAAGAUAGAAGCUUUGUGGGGAAGCUGCUGGUUGUCUUGGCUCCAUCCAGGUUUCCUGUAAAGAUAUUGCAGGUUUUUCCUGGCCUCCCUGAUGUUCCAGCUGUAGUAUGAGUGAUGGUAAUGCUUAAAUAUAUGUCUUACGAUAAACUUGUAGUUUAAAAAAAAAAAAAAAAAAAUUCUAUUUGCAUAUAACAUGAUUUUAAUCAAUUAAUUAUUUAAAGUGUGUCGAAAGAGAAAUAUAGACGACAUGUCUUCGAAAAGCACAAAGAUCAUCUGUCUUCUAUACGAUUACAGUUGUGGUGGGAGUUGGGUUUUUUCGUCUAUGGGGAAUACACAUGCUGUGUAUUUGUGGGGAUGGAGUGCUCCCAAAGGUCACCCUCAACACCAUAGACUCACACAAAUCAAUGUAUUAUACAGUGUAUUGUAAAGUAAACAAUGACCAUCACGGGGAUCUACUACCCCUUGGACAUUAAAGUAAACAAUGACCAUCACGGGGAUCUACUACCCCUUGGACAUUAAAGUAAACAAUGACCAUCACGGCAGGGGCGGCGGAACGGAUUUCAGUUUGGGGGGGCUAAAUUUUUUUCCGUGACCCCCCCCCCCCCGCC
This is a non-coding RNA of Paramuricea clavata, 612 nucleotides long. The record is from the annotation of a GenBank genome assembly. Lineage: Eukaryota; Metazoa; Cnidaria; Anthozoa; Malacalcyonacea; Plexauridae.